GGCCGGUUAGCUCAGUUGGUUAGAGUGUGGUGCUCUUAACAACAAGUUUGCGGGUUCGAUCCCCACAUGGGCCA
Non-coding RNA from Rhinolophus ferrumequinum (greater horseshoe bat), 74 nucleotides. Lineage: Eukaryota; Metazoa; Chordata; Mammalia; Chiroptera; Rhinolophidae. The record is from the annotation of a RefSeq genome assembly.